AGAGUUUGAUCAUGGCUCAGAUUGAACGCUGGCGGCAGGCCUAACACAUGCAAGUCGAACGGUAACAGGAAGCAGCUUGCUGCUUCGCUGACGAGUGGCGGACGGGUGAGUAAUGUCUGGGAAACUGCCUGAUGGAGGGGGAUAACUACUGGAAACGGUAGCUAAUACCGCAUAACGUCGCAAGACCAAAGAGGGGGACCUUCGGGCCUCUUGCCAUCAGAUGUGCCCAGAUGGGAUUAGCUUGUUGGUGGGGUAACGGCUCACCAAGGCGACGAUCCCUAGCUGGUCUGAGAGGAUGACCAGCCACACUGGAACUGAGACACGGUCCAGACUCCUACGGGAGGCAGCAGUGGGGAAUAUUGCACAAUGGGCGCAAGCCUGAUGCAGCCAUGCCGCGUGUAUGAAGAAGGCCUUCGGGUUGUAAAGUACUUUCAGCGGGGAGGAAGGUGUUGUGGUUAAUAACCACAGCAAUUGACGUUACCCGCAGAAGAAGCACCGGCUAACUCCGUGCCAGCAGCCGCGGUAAUACGGAGGGUGCAAGCGUUAAUCGGAAUUACUGGGCGUAAAGCGCACGCAGGCGGUCUGUUAAGUCAGAUGUGAAAUCCCCGGGCUCAACCUGGGAACUGCAUCUGAUACUGGCAGGCUUGAGUCUCGUAGAGGGGGGUAGAAUUCCAGGUGUAGCGGUGAAAUGCGUAGAGAUCUGGAGGAAUACCGGUGGCGAAGGCGGCCCCCUGGACGAAGACUGACGCUCAGGUGCGAAAGCGUGGGGAGCAAACAGGAUUAGAUACCCUGGUAGUCCACGCCGUAAACGAUGUCGACUUGGAGGUUGUGCCCUUGAGGCGUGGCUUCCGGAGCUAACGCGUUAAGUCGACCGCCUGGGGAGUACGGCCGCAAGGUUAAAACUCAAAUGAAUUGACGGGGGCCCGCACAAGCGGUGGAGCAUGUGGUUUAAUUCGAUGCAACGCGAAGAACCUUACCUGGUCUUGACAUCCACGGAAGUUUUCAGAGAUGAGAAUGUGCCUUCGGGAACCGUGAGACAGGUGCUGCAUGGCUGUCGUCAGCUCGUGUUGUGAAAUGUUGGGUUAAGUCCCGCAACGAGCGCAACCCUUAUCCUUUGUUGCCAGCGGUUAGGCCGGGAACUCAAAGGAGACUGCCAGUGAUAAACUGGAGGAAGGUGGGGAUGACGUCAAGUCAUCAUGGCCCUUACGACCAGGGCUACACACGUGCUACAAUGGCAUAUACAAAGAGAAGCGACCUCGCGAGAGCAAGCGGACCUCAUAAAGUAUGUCGUAGUCCGGAUUGGAGUCUGCAACUCGACUCCAUGAAGUCGGAAUCGCUAGUAAUCGUGGAUCAGAAUGCCACGGUGAAUACGUUCCCGGGCCUUGUACACACCGCCCGUCACACCAUGGGAGUGGGUUGCAAAAGAAGUAGGUAGCUUAACCUUCGGGAGGCGCUUACCACUUUGUGAUUCAUGACUGGGGUGAAGUCGUAACAAGGUAACCGUAGGGGAACCUGCGGUUGGAUCACCU
RNAcentral lists this ribosomal RNA (1529 nucleotides) under Citrobacter koseri. RNAcentral's name for it is "bacterial SSU rRNA". It matches the Rfam family "Bacterial small subunit ribosomal RNA". Lineage: Bacteria; Pseudomonadati; Pseudomonadota; Gammaproteobacteria; Enterobacterales; Enterobacteriaceae. The record is from RNAcentral.